GUGAAUUGACCUGAUAAAAUAACAAUAUGAGGAUAAGGCUUUGUAACAAGAAAAAACAUUGCUCUAAAAACAUUUUUUUUUCAUUUAGUGCCAUAUCCUUAUAUCUUUUCUAUGUCAAGUCAAUAUACUAUUGUUGACUUUAUACUGCAAUCUGAAACAAUGGUAUACCUACUUAAUUAUUUUGAGCUCACAUGAAAGGCCAAAUGUGGUUUUCUUUUAAUUUACUUGGCAAAGGUCGUCCGUUGUCGUAUGGAAACUUUUACAAAUAUCUUUUCCUCUAUAACUUUUAGACCAAAUUUAAUCAAACUCGGCCACAAUCAUGAUUUGGGUAUUUUGUUGAAAAAAUGUGUUGAAGUUAAUGAAACAUUAAUGUAUACAGGGACAUUUAUGAAGAAUUUAUAAUACUAUAAUUAGUUAUUAGAACCCAAU
Molecule: long non-coding RNA, 429 nt
Filed under: Mytilus galloprovincialis (Mediterranean mussel)
Lineage: Eukaryota; Metazoa; Mollusca; Bivalvia; Mytilida; Mytilidae
Source: RNAcentral